GGGGUUUAAUGCGUGAGGCAGAGUUCGCUUCGUCGUGUGACCAUAGACUAAAUAGUCGGACUUGUCUAUGGUGUGAAAAUACUUGUUAUGACCGAAUAGUGAAAAGUCUUGCCAUAUAAGGAUCUCACCUUAAUAGUGUUUUUUUUUUUAAAUGAACAUAGAAAUUUUGAAUAUAAAAAAUGUGGUUAUACACCAAUCAUAUCAUAAUUGACAUAACAGUUUUAAAACUAUUAUGCAAUUCCAUAAAAAGUACACAAAUAAGUUCUAAACUUGACUACGAAAAAAAACAUAAAAAAAAGGAAUCAAUGGCUAAAAAACCGUAUCUCUUAUAUUCAAAUAUCUAUGAAACUUCCUUACAAUGUUUCAUCCUUAAAUAGUGAGAAGCGUUACUUCUCCGUCUGAACUAGGCCUUAGUGUAAGUACUAUUUAUACUUAAUUUAUUUAUACUGUAAAGUCUAGGCUAUGCACCCAUCGACCAUUUUUCAUCCUAGUAUUAUUAGGGGAAUUACAAAAGAGUGACCGAAUUUUUCCUCGCAAAUUUUUCUUGACACAUAACUCUGAAGAUUGUUUUGUUUCGAUAUUGAUAGAGGGCAAAAAGUGUAUUUUUUCACGCCACUGUUCGGAAAUGUGGCAAUAGAUGGUCUAAAACCAAGCUGGAAAGUAGGCAAUAGCUGUAGCACCUGAACCACCACUACUACAAUGUUUCAUUGUUAUCAUCAACUGUCAUUGGUGACGGUUCGCUACAGCAAUGAGUAUCAUUUAAAACAUAAAAAUCAAUAAAAGGUCCUUUUCACCCAAAUUUUUCCUUCAAAAAUAAAAUUAGGUUAUUUAUAGGGCCAAAUUUCUUGUUUAAAAAAAAGAAAUGUCAAAACAAUUCAGUUCAUUUUUUUAACAAUUAUCCAUUCAGUUCACGCUUAAGGCGUUUUUUCCUUUGUAGCUGUUUGUGUUUUUUUUAGCAAAAACGCUUCUAAGUUUGGAGUCGGUUUGAAGCAAAUAACAGAAAAACGCCUCUUAAAAGUGAUAAAAAAGUAAAAAAGGCGGGAUCAUACUUACUGAAUUGGAUAGUGUAAAUUGUGUUUGACUAAAAAAUACAAGAAACACGUAUCUACGCUCGCUAUAAAAAUGAGUUCUUCUAGUGAAGAAAAUGAUAUUCUUACGCUGACGCCUACCGAAAUUCAAGAGACAGCACAGGCAGUGGCUAGUAAUUUGCUACCAGUAGUUAUGCAAAUGUUUUCUUAUUUCCUUGCAGUAGUCGUGAAAAGCACUAUGUAAUGCCUCGGCCGGAAACGCUGAAGAUGGACUCGUAUUAUUUGAGGGCCUCCACUGACGUGUCGGCCCUCAAACGCACUCGUCCAUCUUUUAGCGGUUUUCCGUCCUCUCCUACAAUGUACUAUUUCAUUCUUAUUUUACAUGUUCGUUUUAUUACUCCCAUAUAUAAUACACACUUCUGUAGGUACCUGUAGGAAACAAAAUAAUCCUUGGGACACUUAGUAGGUAUGCUUUUAAAAUGUUGCAUAUGACCCUUUGACAGUCCAUUAUAUGUUCUAUGCUUACAGAUGUGUAAGUGCAAAAAGUUUUCGGAAAGGAAACAAAGGAAGCUUUCAUUUUACAAAUGGACAAUUUCGAUUCCCAAUAUUCCCAUACAAAAAUACGAAGUCUUCGAAAUUAUUUAAUGUGGAAAUUUCGUAUUUUUGAAAUCUUUUCCACGGCACAUCAGUUAAAUGCUUACCUACUUUAUGGGAGUAAAAAAAAUGCUUUUCGAAAAUCGCGGGCACUUUUUUGUAAAUCCCCACAAGGCGUGUAUGGGUUAGAGCGGGCUCAGCGUACAUGCCUGACGCAACCUGUGAUAUGUAUAAGCGACGCCCUUCUGCUUCGUUGAUGCUUUUAUAGUGCCGUAGUUAACUGGUUACUAUUAGGAACCUGAGUUAUUCGCAGCUCACACGAGAUUCAAAUAAGUCAGGCAUUUUCAUCAGUAUAGAGCACAGUCUACAGAUGUAGUGAACAAUUCUUUGACAUCGUAUUCUCUCGGACACGUUGAACCUUAAAACUACCACGAUACAGCCGCUUUUUAAACGACAUUGUUGCUUUGGCACGCGCUCAACUCGGUAGGCCACCGCUCGCACAAAAGUACCAAUGGCUUUUGUUUAACAGAUUGGGUCUUAAACGUAAAAAUCAUUUGAGAAAAUUCAUACUUUAUUCGUCAUCCUACUUCAAUUAACCUCAGUACCUACUUUUUAGGGUUCCGUACCUCAAAAGGAAAAAACGGAACCCUUAUUGUACUGAGACUGACUGAAAUAACACGUUAAAGUGCGUUUUCGUGAAAAUACGAUGGUAAAGGAGUAUUCACUACAUCUGUACAUAAAACACCACUGAAUGCUGCCAUUUAAUGAUAGAAAUGCUUGUCAAGUACCUACACGAAAAUUAAGCAUAAAGUCAAAAGAUUCUAAGGCCGUCUAUUCACGGGUGGUGCAACCGAUUGCGGUAAUUCCGGUCGAGUACAUAAAUAUGCAUAAUUUUUUUCACCUUAUUGCAAUGGAUUAAGGUGAACAAAUGUGUACAUAUUUAUGAACUCAACUGUGACUAAACCACGGUCCUUUGGGACGGCUACUUUCUACCGGUGUCAGGUUAGCCGUUGCAAAAAGUCGAAGACUCCGUUUUGCUAUUUCACUUAACAUUUUUAACGCGGAGUAUAUGUCGCAAAAUACCGUGAAAACGGGUAUUAAAAAGUUAAAAUUGGCGAGCGAGAAGUUUUAAGGUUCUGUAGCAAAACUACCGUUUUGGGCACAAAAGCUUUGUAUUUAUAUUCUUAUAGCACGUUUGACCAAUGGGAUUUCAGAUGUUUCUGCUGCCUUCCAGCGUUUUUGUAUGAAUCAAGUAUUAAUAUAAUCCAUUUACUUUAAGUAGAACUUGUUUGUAAGGAUAUAAUUAUUGUUACAAAUGUAAAAGUACCGUUCAAUUUUUAUAUUAGACCCCGUUUUCUUUCACUGCAAUGUCGGCGAGUUUUUAAAUGAGCAUUUAAUAAUAAGUAGAAAGAUCCUGUAGAUAAAUUUAUUCAUAGCAUUUUUCUGGAUUUUUUAUAGUUUUCAUGGUCAAGAGAUGGAAAUUGGAUCAGAGAUGGGUCCAAAUGUAAGGAUGUAUAUAGUUGGUCAAGCAGAUCUUGUCAGUAGAAAAAGGCGGCAAAUUUGAAAAAUGUAGGCGCGAAGGGAUAUCGUCUCAUAGAAAAUUUGAAUUUCGCGCCCUUUUCUACUGACAAGAUUUGCUUGACCAUCUAUAGUUUACCUUUUAAUAUGCUUUUUUAAGUAUGUAAAUGCAUUUCUUACCAAAUAAAGAUUCAUUAAGUUUUGAACUGAAGAUAUAAAGAAUAAUAGUUAUAAAGUAGCACUGUGAAUCAUUUCUGUGAUAUUUUAUUUUGAUUGUGAUGCUUAUUUAUUAUUCUGUUUUUUAUAGGUUUGACAUGUUUUUA
Long non-coding RNA from Cydia splendana, 3463 nucleotides. RefSeq lists it as uncharacterized. The transcript has 3 exons. Lineage: Eukaryota; Metazoa; Arthropoda; Insecta; Lepidoptera; Tortricidae. The record is from RefSeq and is a predicted model, not a curated record.